CAACGCGCAGCCGCGGAAACCGGGUCAUCAGCGAUUUUCCAGUUCUAGUAUUUCUUUGAACAUGGCAGACAGCUUGCCCUUCAGAUGGUAUAAGAGGCCCAAAGCCCGUCAAUUUACUUCUCAUUUUUCCGGUGCAUAAACCACCUAAUAUGAGUGCUUUGAAGAGCACCUGUUGUGAGGGAAAGGGAAGAUACACUGACCAGACCAGGACUCGAACCCUGGACCUUGUGCAGAUGUCUAGAUGGACACUCACCAUUUGAACUACCUGGUCACUGCCAUUCAGUCCAGUUCAGUUCUGCUACAUUCCUUUCUCCUUCAACAAAAUCUUCAACACAUUGACCCAAAACCACAUCUAUGGGUAUUUAGUUCAGGCCACCAGAUGUAACAGAAGAGGAGAAAUCAAUAACCAGACUGGGAUUUGAACCCGGGACCUCAGAUCUCUAGACUCUAACCAUUUGUGCUACCUGGCCACUGACACUCAGCCCAUUCCAGUUCCACUACAUUGUGUAUAUAU
Molecule: long non-coding RNA, 514 nt
Organism: Pecten maximus
Lineage: Eukaryota; Metazoa; Mollusca; Bivalvia; Pectinida; Pectinidae
Exons: 3
Source: RefSeq, a predicted model, not a curated record